UCUUCUUCUUCUUCUUCUUUUUCACUGAUUUCUAGGGUUCCUUCUGUGCUCUAGAUCUCUCAGCAACUGGAAUCACCUCUCUAUCGCUGUUGACUUUCUCUCAAAUAGGCGGUUCGACUCCGAUCACAGAUCUGAUUCGCCGAUUCUGAGCUCUCGAUCUCUUCCUCAACAUGGCGGCCGCUAACGCCCCAAUCGCUAUGAAGGAAGUCUUAACUUUGCCGAGCAUUGGGAUCAAUCCCCAGUUCAUCACUUUUACAAAUGUCACAAUGGAAUCGGACAAGUAUAUAUGUGUACGGGAAACUGCUCCGCAGAAUAGUGUUGUGAUUGUGGAUAUGAAUAUGCCAAUGCAGCCAUUGAGGCGGCCUAUUACUGCAGACUCGUCGCUCAUGAAUCCAAAUUCUAGAAUCCUUGCCUUGAAAGCCCAACUCCCAGGAACUACUCAGGAUCACCUCCAGAUAUUUAACAUUGAAAUGAAAGCAAAAAUGAAAUCACACCAGAUGCCUGAGCAGGUUGUCUUUUGGAAGUGGAUAACCACAAAGAUGUUAGGCUUGGUCACACAGACCUCAGUUUACCAUUGGUCAAUUGAAGGUGAUUCUGAACCUGUCAAGAUGUUUGAUAGAACAGCUAAUCUGGUGAACAAUCAGAUAAUUAACUACAGAUGUGACCCUUCAGAGAAGUGGUUGGUUCUGAUUGGUAUAGCUCCUGGUUCACCUGAGAGGCAACAACUGGUUAAAGGGAACAUGCAACUUUUCUCUGUGGAUCAGCAGCGUAGUCAAGCUCUUGAAGCUCAUGCUGCAUCAUUCGCCCAAUUUAAGGUUCCAGGAAAUGAGAAUCCUUCCAUUCUCAUUUCUUUUGCCACAAAAUCUUUCAAUGCUGGGCAGAUUACAUCGAAGUUGCAUGUCAUUGAACUUGGUGCUCAACCAGGGAAGCCAUCAUUUACGAAGAAACAGGCUGAUCUUUUCUUUCCUCCAGACUUUGCUGAUGACUUUCCUGUUGCAAUGCAGAUAUCCCACAAAUACAGUUUGAUUUAUGUGAUCACCAAGCUUGGGCUGCUAUUUGUUUAUGACUUGGAGACAGCUACUGCUGUAUACAGAAAUAGAAUCAGUCCCGAUCCAAUAUUUUUGACAGCUGAAGCUUCGUCGGUUGGGGGUUUUUAUGCCAUUAAUAGGCGGGGCCAGGUGUUGCUAGCGACUGUGAAUGAAGCAACAAUUGUACCUUUUGUUAGUAGCCAAUUGAAUAAUUUGGAGCUUGCUGUCAAUCUUGCCAAAAGAGGAAACCUUCCUGGUGCAGAGAAUUUGGUUGUCCAGCGUUUCCAAGAGCUGUUUGCUCAAACGAAGUAUAAAGAAGCAGCUGAGCUUGCUGCAGAGUCUCCACAAGGAAUUCUUCGAACACCCGACACAGUUGCCAAGUUUCAGAGUGUUCCUGUGCAAGCCGGGCAAACACCCCCUUUACUGCAGUACUUUGGGACACUUCUAACUAGAGGAAAGCUUAAUGCAUUUGAAUCAUUGGAAUUAUCACGCCUUGUUGUCAAUCAAAAUAAGAAGAAUCUUUUAGAGAAUUGGUUGGCAGAGGACAAGUUGGAGUGCAGUGAAGAACUUGGAGACCUUGUGAAGACUGUUGACAAUGACCUUGCGCUAAAAAUAUAUAUCAAAGCUAGAGCUACUCCAAAGGUUGUUGCGGCUUUUGCUGAGAGGAGGGAGUUUGACAAAAUUUUGAUUUACUCAAAGCAGGUUGGGUAUACCCCUGAUUAUUUGUUCCUUCUGCAAACAAUUCUCCGUUCGGAUCCUCAGGGAGCAGUGAAUUUUGCUUUGAUGAUGUCUCAAAUGGAGGGAGGUUGUCCUGUUGAUUACAAUACCAUCACUGAUCUGUUUCUUCAGAGAAACCUGAUUCGUGAGGCAACAGCUUUUCUGUUGGAUGUUUUGAAGCCAAAUUUACCUGAACAUGGUUUUCUGCAAACAAAGGUCCUAGAAAUCAAUUUGGUAACAUUUCCUAAUGUAGCUGAUGCUAUUCUAGCCAAUGGAAUGUUCAGCCACUAUGAUCGCCCUCGAAUUGCUCAACUUUGUGAAAAAGCCGGUCUAUACAUCCGAGCCCUGCAACAUUAUUCAGAGUUGCCAGAUAUUAAACGUGUCAUUGUUAAUACCCAUGCAAUAGAGCCUCAGGCACUUGUGGAGUUUUUUGGUACCCUAUCACGAGAAUGGGCUUUGGAGUGCAUGAAGGAUCUGUUGCUGGUGAAUCUAAGAGGCAACCUUCAGAUAAUUGUGCAGACUGCCAAGGAAUAUUGUGAGCAGUUGGGUGUUGAUGCGUGCAUAAAACUUUUUGAGCAAUUCAAGUCCUAUGAAGGGCUUUACUUUUUUCUUGGGUCAUAUUUGAGUUCAAGUGAGGAUCCUGAUAUACACUUCAAGUACAUUGAGGCAGCUGCUAAAACUGGACAAAUAAAGGAGGUUGAGCGUGUUACUAGAGAAUCAAAUUUUUAUGAUGCUGAAAAGACAAAAAACUUUCUGAUGGAGGCCAAACUUCCAGAUGCUAGGCCGCUGAUUAAUGUUUGUGAUCGUUUUGGUUUUGUGGCUGAUCUCACACACUACCUCUAUUCAAACAAUAUGCUUCGUUAUAUUGAAGGUUAUGUUCAGAAGGUGAACCCAGGUAAUGCACCUUUAGUUGUGGGGCAGUUGCUGGAUGAUGAGUGCCCUGAAGACUUCAUUAAGGGCCUGAUUCUUUCUGUUCGUUCUUUGCUUCCUGUUGAGCCCCUUGUGGAAGAAUGUGAGAAGAGAAAUCGACUUCGUUUGCUCACUCAGUUCUUGGAGCAUCUUGUAAGUGAGGGGAGCCAAGAUGUACAUGUCCACAAUGCUCUGGGUAAAAUUAUUAUUGAUAGCAAUAACAAUCCAGAGCACUUCCUCACUACCAACCCUUACUAUGAUUCCCGGGUUGUUGGCAAGUAUUGUGAGAAACGUGAUCCCACUCUGGCUGUUGUGGCUUACCGGAGAGGACAAUGUGAUGAUGAGCUGAUUAAUGUUACUAAUAAAAAUUCUUUGUUCAAAUUGCAAGCAAGGUAUGUGGUUGAAAGGAUGGAUGCUGAUCUUUGGGAGAAAGUUCUUAAUCCUGAGAAUGAAUAUAGAAGACAGCUCAUUGAUCAGGUUGUAUCUACUGCUUUGCCUGAAAGCAAGAGCCCUGAACAAGUUUCUGCAGCAGUUAAGGCUUUCAUGACUGCUGAUCUACCCCAUGAGUUAAUUGAGCUUCUUGAAAAGAUUGUGCUCCAAAACUCUGCAUUCAGUGGAAAUUUCAACCUGCAGAAUCUACUUAUCUUGACCGCCAUCAAGGCAGAUCCAUCUAGAGUUAUGGAUUACAUUAACAGAUUAGAUAAUUUUGAUGGACCUGCUGUUGGAGAAGUGGCUGUAGAAGCGCAGCUAUAUGAGGAAGCAUUUGCAAUUUUCAAGAAGUUCAACUUAAAUGUUCAGGCUGUAAAUGUCCUAUUGGACAAUAUUCAAAGCAUUGAUCGUGCAGUGGAGUUUGCAUUCCGAGUUGAAGAAGAUGCAGUUUGGAGUCAGGUGGCAAAGGCUCAACUCAGGGAGGGGCUGGUGAGUGAUGCAAUUGAGUCCUUUAUUCGUGCAGAUGAUGUUACUCAAUUCCUGGAGGUCAUUCGUGCUGCUGAGGAUGCAAAUGUCUAUCAUGACUUGGUGAGGUACCUCCUGAUGGUUAGGCAGAAGUCAAAAGAGCCGAAGGUGGACAGUGAGCUUAUCUUUGCAUAUGCAAAGAUUGAUAGGCUGAGUGACAUCGAGGAAUUCAUUCUCAUGCCAAAUGUUGCUAAUCUCCAAAAUGUGGGUGAUCGUUUGUUUGAUGAAGCUCUAUAUGAGGCUGCAAAAAUUAUAUUUGCAUUUAUAUCAAACUGGGGCAAGUUGGCUAGCACACUUGUGAAGCUGCAACAGUUCCAAGGUGCUGUUGAUGCAGCACGAAAAGCCAAUAGUGCAAAGACAUGGAAGGAAGUUUGCUUUGCUUGUGUUGAUGCUGAGGAGUUCCGUUUGGCUCAGAUCUGUGGCCUUAACAUUAUUAUUCAGGUGGAUGAUUUGGAAGAGGUCAGUGAAUAUUACCAGAACAGAGGAUACUUCAAUGAGUUAAUCUCUCUUAUGGAGAGUGGCUUAGGGUUAGAACGUGCACAUAUGGGCAUUUUCACGGAGUUGGGAGUGUUAUAUGCAAGAUAUCGUCCUGAGAAGCUUAUGGAACACAUUAAAUUGUUCUCAACCCGCCUCAAUAUUCCGAAGCUCAUACGGGCUUGUGAUGAACAACAGCAUUGGAAGGAACUUACCUAUUUGUACAUCCAAUAUGAUGAAUUUGAUAAUGCUGCAACCACCAUAAUGAACCAUUCCCCUGAGGCAUGGGAUCACAUGCAAUUUAAAGAUGUUGCUGUCAAGGUUGCAAAUGUGGAGCUAUAUUAUAAGGCGGUUCAUUUCUACCUGCAAGAGCACCCAGACCUUAUCAAUGAUCUUCUCAAUGUGCUGGCACUCCGUGUGGACCAUACCCGUGUUGUUGACAUUAUGCGGAAGGCUGGUCACCUUCUUCUAGUGAAGCCAUAUAUGGUUGCUGUUCAGAGCAAUAACGUGUCUGCUGUGAAUGAGGCUUUGAAUCAAAUUUAUGUAGAGGAGGAAGACUAUGAAAGAUUGCGUGAAUCAAUUGAUAUGCAUGACAACUUUGAUCAGAUUGGCCUUGCUCAGAAGAUUGAGAAACAUGAACUUCUUGAAAUGAGACGUGUUGCUGCAUACAUCUACAAGAAGGCAGGAAGAUGGAAGCAAUCCAUUGCAUUGUCAAAGAAAGACAACCUCUACAAAGAUGCUAUGGAGACGGCAUCACAAUCUGGAGACCGUGAACUUGCAGAAGGGUUGCUUGUUUAUUUCAUUGAACAGGGCAAGAAGGAAUGUUUUGCAUCAUGCCUCUUUGUUUGUUAUGAUUUGAUACGGGCAGAUGUUGCUCUUGAACUUGCCUGGAUGAAUAAUAUGGUUGACUUUGCCUUCCCGUACCUGCUGCAGUUUAUCCGUGAGUACACUGGCAAAGUUGAUGAACUUGUUAAGGACAAAAUUGAGGCUCAGAUUGAGGUCAAGGCUAAAGAGCAGGAAGAAAAAGAAGUUAUUGCUCAGCAGAACAUGUAUGCCCAGUUGCUUCCUCUUGCAUUGCCUGCACCUCCAAUGCCAGGCAUGGGUGGAGGUUUUGCGCCGCCACCACCAAUGGGUGGAAUGGGAAUGCCUCCAAUGCCACCUUUUGGCAUGCCGCCAAUGGGUAGCUAUUGAUAUGCUGGUGGCCUUUUUUGUAGAAUUUAGCUUUGAAUCAAAGUUGCUUAUGAAGGACAUGCAAGGUCGGGCUUUACCCUUUGGUGGUCUUUCGGUGCCUUCAUUCCUUUUUGUGUUUGUUUUGAUGGGAUGAAUGAAGGUCUAUUUGAAAUAAUGCCAUUUUUCAUUUUUAUGUUUAGGUGUGUGGAUAUGUGUUGUAAUAUUCUUUUGAUAGGGAGUCAUUUUUUGGCUGCUGUUAGUGGGGUGGCCGAGGAUUUCCUGUAUU
This 5538-nucleotide unclassified non-coding RNA is filed under the name Hevea brasiliensis (rubber tree). The record is from RNAcentral. Lineage: Eukaryota; Viridiplantae; Streptophyta; Magnoliopsida; Malpighiales; Euphorbiaceae.